RNAcentral lists this ribosomal RNA (1195 nucleotides) under Triticum aestivum (bread wheat). RNAcentral's name for it is "partial small subunit ribosomal RNA". Lineage: Eukaryota; Viridiplantae; Streptophyta; Magnoliopsida; Poales; Poaceae. The record is from RNAcentral.
CAGCGAUUCCCCCCAUCCCCUCCUCCUCCCCGCGGGCGCCGAGAUCCACCUCCCUCCUCCCACCCCGGUUCUACCCUGGCCCUGCGGCCGCCGGAUCCGGCGUGAUCCUUCCUCCCAUCCCCGCACCCACCCUAAGCCGUCCAGCGCCCUGCCCGUCGUGCCCCGGGAACGGAUCCGGCCACCCUCGCCGGCAUGCACCCUCAGCCACGGCAAUCCCCUACCCGCGCCAGCCAGGACGACACCAUCUUCUUCCCCCCACCACCUCCUUUGUGUCGUGCCCCAGUUCCUCCCUUCCACAACCACCUACCCCUGUUGGAGCUCCUCCUACCCGCGCCGCCGCGCCGUCCCACCACCUCGCCCUUUGCCACGGCACGCCGCCAUGGCACCACCCCUUUCCUUCCUUUUCCUGGUGACCCACCCCGUCCACGCCGACCUCUGUGUCGGAUCCGGUGAGAUCCGGCGCUACAUGCCUCCACCGUCGCUGUCUAAGGUCGCUUCAGCACCAGAUCCGCCGCGAGCUUGACCUACGACGCCUCAUCCCGUCCCUGACGCGCCUGGUCUCUGCUCCAUCCCGGCCAAGGUGGCCUCUCAAUACCGGCAGCACGCACGCCGAGAGCCGCCACGCUGCUGGCCUCCUCAAGCAUGGGUCGAUUGCACAGUUCGACGGAGGGCUGCUAUGUGCGGCGGAGCGCCAUGCAGUCUGCGCAUCCUGAUUGUGCUGUUCGUUCGACGGCUCUGGUCCUCUUCAUGACCCGUCCCCAUUCGAUGGACACCCCGUGCUAAUCAUCUCCCCUUGCAGUCCACACACCGGAUGCGAGCAGAGCAUCCGUUGGCUCGGUGCAGCUCGCUCCGCCACAUAUCACGCCUUUUUUUUGCAGAUUGUUUGUAGCCCACUUCGGCGCCUCUGAAGUAUGUGGCGCAUACAGGUGCAAUGCAGCAAACACAUGCGUGCAGUCCCCAGCAGAAACAUGCAUGCUCACCCCUCGUUGGAGCAGCACGGUCAUGGCGAUGCAGUGCACUUCAAUUCCGCGUGGAGCAGCACGGUCAUCGCGAUGCAGUGCACUGCGACUCCACGUGUAGUGCAAAUUUUUUGGAAGUGCAAUAAGUUUGUGUAAAAAUACUAUGUUUCAUUACCCCUAUGUAUGAAGUGCAAUUUCUUUCGUGUUUUUGAAAGAAUCAGUCGACUAUAUCACAC